GUGCCAGCAGCCGCGGUAAUACGUAGGGUGCAAGCGUUAAUCGGAAUUACCUGGGCGUAAAGCGUGCGCAGGCGGUUUUGUAAGUCUGUCGUGAAAGCCCCGGGCUCAACCUGGGAAUUGCGAUGGAGACUGCAAGGCUUGAAUCUGGCAGAGGGGGGUAGAAUUCCACGUGUAGCAGUGAAAUGCGUAGAGAUGUGGAGGAACACCGAUGGCGAAGGCAGCCCCCUGGGUCAAGAUUGACGCUCAUGCACGAAAGCGUGGGGAGC
This 266-nucleotide ribosomal RNA is filed under the name uncultured Burkholderiales bacterium. Its description in RNAcentral is "partial 16S ribosomal RNA". It matches the Rfam family "Bacterial small subunit ribosomal RNA", at positions 505 to 769 of the family's 1533-position model. Lineage: Bacteria; Pseudomonadati; Pseudomonadota; Betaproteobacteria; Burkholderiales. The record is from RNAcentral.